RNAcentral lists this ribosomal RNA (480 nucleotides) under uncultured bacterium. RNAcentral describes it as "partial 16S ribosomal RNA". It matches the Rfam family "Bacterial small subunit ribosomal RNA", at positions 28 to 507 of the family's 1533-position model. The record is from RNAcentral.
GAUGAACGCUAGCGGCAGGCCUAACACAUGCAAGUCGAGGGGUAGAAGGAGCUUGCUCCUUUGAGACCGGCGCACGGGUGCGUAACGCGUAUGCAAUCUACCUUGUACAGGGGAAUAGCCCAGAGAAAUUUGGAUUAAUGCCCCAUAGUAUAUAACCUUCGCAUGUUGGUUAUAUUAAAGUUCCAACGGUACAAGAUGAGCAUGCGUCCCAUUAGUUAGUUGGUAAGGUAACGGCUUACCAAGACGAUGAUGGGUAGGGGUCCUGAGAGGGAGAUCCCCCACACUGGUACUGAGACACGGACCAGACUCCUACGGGAGGCAGCAGUGAGGAAUAUUGGUCAAUGGUCGCAAGACUGAACCAGCCAUGCCGCGUGCAGGAAGACGGUCCUAUGGAUUGUAAACUGCUUUUAUACAGGAAGAAACCCUCCCACGUGUGGGGGCUUGACGGUACUGGAGGAAUAAGGAUCGGCUAACUCCGUG